Molecule: long non-coding RNA, 850 nt
Organism: Anguilla rostrata (American eel)
Lineage: Eukaryota; Metazoa; Chordata; Actinopteri; Anguilliformes; Anguillidae
Exons: 2
Source: RefSeq, a predicted model, not a curated record
GUCUAGUGCCGCGACUGAUGGGAACUAUAUUGUAAUAUUUAGGAUUACAGGUAAGAAGAAUAUAUAAAUGUUUCGACCCCCCGACCCGUUGUUUUUACCUCUUUUGGGGGAGCCCAAGUGUUAAUUAGGGGGGUCAGACCUCUCCAAUCCCCGCCGUAAUUUGAACACUGGUGUACGAUAAAAUAUUACCGAAUACACUCUAUGGUCCCCCCCUGCCUAAAAUAGCCAUUUUUUCUUGUCCAGCGCUUCCAAUAAAAUUUCACCGGAUUACGUCAUUCCAGUUUGAACACGGAACGAAUACAACAAACAACGGUCUUUAGCGAGAAACUCCACCAGGACUGAACUGUGGCUGGACACACUAGUUGUGCUUGGAGCCGACUUGCCCAUAUCCACUCAGCUCUUCAUUAAGUGCAAUCCAUGGAGCAGUGGCUGCAUUGGCUGUACCGCUCACAGUGCUGAGUCCCUGCAUGGAUGCUGCAUAGGAACAGAACCGUCCCAAGACUUCGAGGGACCCUAGACAAAAAAUAAUUUGGGGGCCCCUCCAAAACAUUUGCACCUUCUGACUCUUCUGAUGUCAAAGGAAGGCGAGAAGGCGGGGCCCUAGGCGAGAUGGUGGGGCCCUAGGCGCAGUGCCUUAUCUGCUUAGUGGAAGGGACGGCUCUGCAUAGGAAACAGGCUGCAGAAAAUGCAUCCCCUUGGUAGAUAGCCUUCAGCACCCUGACUUCUACGGACAGCUCUCUUCUCCUGUCCUCUGGACAGAACCCCAGCAGCUAAAAGGCUGACCUUGGCAAAAACAGGGUGAAAAUAAGCAGCAGAGAUAUGGGACAAUUUUGCUGGCUAAACUCAAAUG